GACAGUCAUUUUCGUCCACAAUCAAUGAUUCUUGUUUACUGCAUGCAGGAUGAUAAAUCAUCAAAGAAUUGAGAUAAUACGGGCAGUUACUGGUGAAAGGUACAACCAUGCCACAGGUACUGACUCAUCAUAAUUUUUAGUUUAAUCUGAAUCAGCAAUAAUCUUAAUUGUGUGAUGUGCUUUUUCUUUUUUUCUUAAUUAUGAAUUCUAUGCACGCAUCAACUCAUUAACAAAUACAACUGGAAUCCAAACAUCAACAGUUUUGUUUGCCAACAACCAAUUUUUUUGGCUCUAUCGACAUCAGCGUUCAUCCAAACACACCCAUAGGGCAUGUUCGAUUUUCACCCAAAUGGCCAAAUGUAUCAUGCACUAGCCAAGACAAAAUUUGGCACCAGCCAGUCUUUGGUCACCAAAUUGGUGGCCAUGGUCUUGGCCAACUUUGGCCACCAAAAUGAACUAACAUGGCCAAAAGGGAGGGCUUCCAAGGCUUGCCAUCCUUUGGCACACUUUGGUAAACAAAGCAAAUAAACACACCCAUUCAACCGAAAAUACUGUGUCACUCCCUUUCUAUUUGCAAUAGCAUUGAUAGUCCGAACUCGGCUGGCUCCAGUUGACAGGCUGCCCACCAAGGCACCAACCCAAUAGGGUUUAGUAGUACUUUUCUGUCUAAUAAGACAAAGCCUGUCCUCUUCUCUUGGCCAAGGUUUCAUUUUUCCUUUGGAACUUCCAUCUGGUGGUAUUUGAAAAGCAGAUCUUUGACUUGUUUGCAUGAUUCAUCCUUCUUUCACUAAAAUAUGCUGUUUUGAGGUUCUGCCGUGUAAUUUAAUCUAAUUGAAACCAUAUCGAUGAACUGAAUAUGUUCUUCUAUGAUGGUCACUGCUCUAGUUCGUUAACCCCAAUGCUAUGUGUUAAUUGGUUCUGUUUUUCUUUGCCUUUAGCUUUAACCUACGAAAAUGUUGCCCUGGAAGCAAAAAUAACUACCAUGGACAGGUAUGAAGUUAGCCAGUUAUGAAGUUUAAGUGGGCCAGCAUUUGAACUAGCUUAAAUGGGCCGCGGGUGAAAGUUAGCUUAAAUGCGCGUAGCUGGC
Molecule: long non-coding RNA, 1087 nt
Filed under: Zea mays
Lineage: Eukaryota; Viridiplantae; Streptophyta; Magnoliopsida; Poales; Poaceae
Description: long non-coding RNA (ZMAY_LNC002391)
Source: RNAcentral